This 178-nucleotide long non-coding RNA is filed under the name Phasianus colchicus (ring-necked pheasant). RNAcentral's name for it is "lncRNA (ENSPCLG00000017412.1)". Lineage: Eukaryota; Metazoa; Chordata; Aves; Galliformes; Phasianidae. The record is from RNAcentral.
GAACCCACUGACCCCAUAAGGCAGGGACCCCAGAACCCUCUGACCCCAUUGGCCCCAUUGGCCCCAUAACCCAGGGACCCCAUUGGCCCCAUAAGCCAGAGACCCCAUUGGCCCCAUUGGCCCCAGAACCCACUGACCCCAUUGGCCCCAUUGGCCCCACAGCCCAUUGGCCCCAUUG